RNAcentral lists this long non-coding RNA (476 nucleotides) under Mytilus galloprovincialis (Mediterranean mussel). Lineage: Eukaryota; Metazoa; Mollusca; Bivalvia; Mytilida; Mytilidae. The record is from RNAcentral.
AAAAGCAAUAGACCACUUGCACAUUGUUUGGUGAUUAGUCAUACCGGAAGUAUGUAACUUCGGAAUUUCGAAAUCUAUAUUGACUGUACCAAAAGGCGGGCAGAAUUUCCAAAUCCGCCAUUGUAACCAGGGUAAACAAACACAUUUCCGAUUGACUAUGGUGAACAAAAAUUGCAUGUACGGGGUUUGUAAGAGUGACAGUAGGUACCCAGAGAGACUCGCGGAGAAGGAUGUGCACUUUAUUCCGUUCCCAAAGCCAUUACGGAAUAGAGUGAAGUGUGAAAGAUGGAUAAGAGCCUGCGGACGACCUGACCUGAACGUUGAAAAAGUGACGAAAUAUAGCUACAUCUGCUAACUGCACUUUGUAAGGGGGGACGGUCCGACUGAGGAAUAUCCCGAUCCUAUUCCUGCAGGCGCCUGUGAAGCUGAGAAGGAAAAUUUCAUGCUGCAGAACCGGAAAAGAAGGGCACCAAUAG